CGGUGGACAUUUUAAAACAGUCGCACAGAAGCUUGGACCUCUGCAGCUCUCCCUGGAUGUGGAAAUACGAUUGGUUUGGGAAUCUCCUGACUGUGACUUGUCAGCACUGCAGUUCCUGAGACUUCAGCACCGACGGCACAUCAAAAACACCUGGCCAGGACAACACUGAUGACAUGGGUACCACUGACACUGGUGACCCUGAUGCGAUUGACAUUUCCAGCGCUCCACUGCUUGUAUUAUUUCAUCUAACUCCUUUUCUUCUUCUCUCACCUACUCUGCUAGCUUUGCAGAAUGCUGCUUUAACCAUCAGACACCCAUCCCCAUUGCCAGCAGCCUUCUACAUGUUUUACUUUUACUAUUUUUCAAAGCUGAUUCUUCUGUCCUAACUUUUUGGAUUCCUCUCCAAGUUUCCCCACUCUUUCUUAAACUCAUAUGGAUUGGCUUUCUGCAUUA
Molecule: long non-coding RNA, 453 nt
Organism: Alligator mississippiensis (American alligator)
Lineage: Eukaryota; Metazoa; Chordata; Crocodylia; Alligatoridae
Exons: 2
Source: RefSeq, a predicted model, not a curated record